Sinocyclocheilus rhinocerous is the source of this 214-nucleotide long non-coding RNA. RefSeq lists it as uncharacterized. The transcript is spliced from 3 exons. The record is from RefSeq and is a predicted model, not a curated record. Lineage: Eukaryota; Metazoa; Chordata; Actinopteri; Cypriniformes; Cyprinidae.
CAUCCUACAUGCAGUCGAAUUAAAAAGGUGAAGAGAGAACAAAGAAGAAAUGACAACUUAUUAGAGAAGCUUUAAUGCAGAAACUGGAGCAAUACUGCAGUUUUCUGCUCAGCUGACACGUCGCUGUUCUGUCCGUGAGAGGUGCAGCAGUGCAAAUUCAAGUUGGCUUUGCAUGACCUCAGGUUUCCUGAAGAUGAUCAAUUGCCGAGGACUG